This 253-nucleotide ribosomal RNA is filed under the name uncultured prokaryote. RNAcentral's name for it is "partial 16S ribosomal RNA". It matches the Rfam family "Bacterial small subunit ribosomal RNA", at positions 524 to 776 of the family's 1533-position model. The record is from RNAcentral.
UACGAGGGGGGCGAGCGUUGUUCGGAAUUAUUGGGCGUGAAGGGCGCGUAGGCGGCGCCACAAGUCACUUGUGAAAACUCUGGGCUCAACUCAGAGCCUGCAAGCGAAACUGUGGUGCUUGAGUGUGGGAGAGGCGCGUGGAAUUGCAGGUGUAGCGGUGAAAUGCGUAGAUAUCUGCAGGAGCACCCGUGGCGAAAGCGGCGCGCUGGACCACUACUGACGCUGAGGAACGAAAGCUAGGGGAGCAAACAGG